This 336-nucleotide ribosomal RNA is filed under the name Escherichia coli. Its description in RNAcentral is "bacterial SSU rRNA". It matches the Rfam family "Bacterial small subunit ribosomal RNA", at positions 1 to 333 of the family's 1533-position model. Lineage: Bacteria; Pseudomonadati; Pseudomonadota; Gammaproteobacteria; Enterobacterales; Enterobacteriaceae. The record is from RNAcentral.
AAAUUGAAGAGUUUGAUCAUGGCUCAGAUUGAACGCUGGCGGCAGGCCUAACACAUGCAAGUCGAACGGUAACAGGAAGCAGCUUGCUGAUUCGCUGACGAGUGGCGGACGGGUGAGUAAUGUCUGGGAAACUGCCUGAUGGAGGGGGAUAACUACUGGAAACGGUAGCUAAUACCGCAUAAUGUCGCAAGACCAAAGAGGGGGACCUUCGGGCCUCUUGCCAUCGGAUGUGCCCAGAUGGGAUUAGCUAGUAGGUGGGGUAACGGCUCACCUAGGCGACGAUCCCUAGCUGGUCUGAGAGGAUGACCAGCCACACUGGAACUGAGACACGGUCCA